AGCCCAUGAUUAGGACAUCUCCUGAAUAAGGCUUUGUAUCUCUCCCAAGCAUCAUUCAAGCUCUCGCCUUCACGCUGAACAAAAUUGAAGAUCUCAUCUCGAAUUGCGGAC
RNAcentral lists this small nucleolar RNA (111 nucleotides) under Triticum aestivum (bread wheat). Its description in RNAcentral is "Plant small nucleolar RNA R71". It matches the Rfam family "Plant small nucleolar RNA R71". Rfam says of the family: R71 is a member of the C/D box family of snoRNAs containing the C (UGAUGA) and D (CUGA) box motifs. RNAcentral also lists the same sequence under 1 other name. Lineage: Eukaryota; Viridiplantae; Streptophyta; Magnoliopsida; Poales; Poaceae. The record is from Rfam by way of RNAcentral.